UUUUUUUUUUUUUUUUUGUAAAAAGUGCUUUCAUUAUCUUAGACAUCUAUUGGCAGCUCAGAGGCACCGUUUCCUUUUGAACUUUGUGAACAAAUUCAAAUGGGGAGGGGGAGAAAAACCACCCCCACUUUCCAAAAAGCUCCCUAUGGUCAAAAGGGCCCUGAGCUUAAGCUGCACUGAGGCUCUGAGCCAGCUGCAGCAGCAUCCCAGCAGUGUGACAUCUGAAGCCCUGUGUUUAGGAUUACCACCCAGGUUCUCCAAAGCUAAAGAUACUUGUAAAAUUAUUUCAUAAAAUGCAAGCCAAGUAAACUGGAUGAUGCUCUCCCUGUUUGUCCCCUGGAGUGGGAACACACAGUUUAGGCUUUGGUGCCUUCCCUCGUCCCUCAGCACAAACAGGAGAAGCAGCUGAAGGAUUUGGAAGCUGCAAGGAUGAAGUGGAGCUCUCGGGCAGUAACCAGAGCUGAGCUGAGGGAAAACAGCUGCAAGCUGGACACCAGCAGCAUCCAGUGCUGUCCUCAGGGAGCCAUGGGAGGGCUGGUCCCUCACCUCGGGAUGUCCUUAGCCCUGCUGGGAUUUGGUGCUGGGAUUUGUCCCCAUCCAGCCCUGCCCGGUGAUGCUGAGCAGUUCUGCUGCAGCUGGAGGAAACAGCCUGGUGGGGAAGAGGAGGUGGGGGAGGAAGGAGAGGAGCUGGGCAGCCCAGCAGGAUAAGGAGCUCACAGAAUGCAGAGGCACGUUUGAGCUGGAGCUCCCACACAGCCGCAGCGCCCAGACACAGACAUGUGGAGUCAUAGAUCCAGCCAAUAAUUUGGGGUGGGAGGCAGCUUUAAAGGUCAUCCAGCCCAACCUCCCUGCUACGAGCAGGGACAUCUUCAACCAGAUCAGGUUGCUCAGAGCCCUGUUCAACCUGAUCAUGAAUGUUUCUGACGUCACUGUAGAAUACUUCUUCAUAUAGGAUCUCGAUUGACCCUCUUUUAGCUUAAAAUCAUUACUCCUCGUCCUAUUGCUACAGGUCCUGCUAAAACUCUGCCCCUAUCUUUCUUGUUAAGCCCCUUUAGAUGCUGAAAAACGCAGCUAUGAGGUUCCCCCAAAACCUUCUCCUCUCCAGGCUGAACAAUCCCAGUUCCCUCAGCCUUUCCUCCCAGCAGAGCUGCUCCAUCCCUCUGCUCCCCUUGGUGUCCCUGCUCUGGUCUGGCUCCAGCAGCUCCCUGUCCUUGCUGUGCUGGGAUCCCAGGGCUGGAUGCAGCCCUGCAGGGGGGUCUCAGCAGAGCGGGGCAGAGGGGCAGAAUCCCCCCUGCCCUGCUGCCCUGGGGCUCUGGGUGCAGCCCAGCACAGGGGGGGUUUGGGGGCCAGUGCACGUUGCUGGCCCAUCCAGCCCCAGAAGCUGAUGUCCAGUUUGCACUGAUUUUCUCAGGGCUAGCUCCUGCUUUCACACACCUUUGCGCCUCCCCUUGCAGGCUGGAGAAAGGUUUUUUGGCAAUUCCAUGACUGAUGUGCCUCUAGGGUACAGCCCAGGAGCAGCUCAGCAGCAGGGUCUGGCCUGGGCUACACUCAGCUUCACACUGAACUCUUGUUUCCACCCCUCUGUACUGAUCUUGGCAUCUCUUACAUUUUCCUGUAAUAAUCCUGUCUAUGCCAUUGAUUUAGACAAUAGUAAUUGAGCUUCAAACUUAAUUACAGUAUGAGAACAGGCUGUCACUUGACUGAAGACACUUCUUGAUUAUUUAUUUCAAUAAAUAAUCUUACCUGACCCUGCAACUUGGCAUGAGGGGACUAGACACUGGGGUCUCUUUUAUGGCUGUGUUUAUGUCCUUUCUGUCACAUGCAGCACUUCAAUGAAUACCAAGCCCUGGCUCCCAGUGACUCUCCUUUCCCUAAACUUCCAUUAGUGGUAGUUUAGAGAAAGAAGAGACCAGAGAGGGAUUCUCUCCGAUCCCUCACUUCAAGUCCUUCCUCACUCCCACCCAGCUGAUCCUGCUGCCAGGCUGCCCUGAUCCACUGACACCAGGGGAUGCUGGGCAGGCAGGAUCUGCUGUGGCUGCAGAGUCGUGCCCUGGGCAAGAAAUGGCUCAAAUAAAAUGAUUGAUAGGAUGAGGCAGCGGCUUCAGCCAUUGCUCUUACAGGGAUAUUUGGGCCUUCCAAACAGGCAUUGUGUCCCCAGGCUUGUCCAGGGAAGCUGAAGUGGCUGAAGAUGCUCUGAGACUCAGCCUGUAGUUAAGGGAACCCAUUUGCUUCUCCAACAAGUAGUGAACAGUAUCAUUUAUUCCAGAGCUGUUUGCCUGGAAUUCCUCUGUGGGACCAUAUCACCUCUAAGAAGGUGAUUAAUUCCCUCCAGCCUUUACAAUUACCCUCUGUAAUGAUCAAUACCUUGGGCAUUUGGUCUUAGAACAACAGUUUUUAGAGAGCAAUUCUUCUCUGCUGUGACUUGAUGUCUGCCUCUGUGACUUCACAAUCUGAAAUAAAUCCUUUGCCAGCUGUUCCAAGCCCAAAAAAAUGCAUCUGGACCUACAGGAAGUUGAGCUCCAGGUUCAAAACACAAACCUGGUUUUCACCUGCCAGGAGGCUGAGCUACCUGAGGCCACCUCAGACUUCAGAAAAACUUGAACUUCUGCCAAAAUUCAUAAUCAAUGCCCUUUUAUAUUAUGCUGGAGUUGUUUCCUACCAGAAACCUUGGUUUUAUGAACAGAUACAUCAAUUUUAAAGCUGAUGCUAAUUUUAUAAUCCCAACCUGGUGAUUUUUUUUUUUGGUACCCACUUAGUUAUGGGUGAAUCACACACCUUUGCUGAUGCACUCACACCAUUUCCUCGCAGAGGUAUCAGCUGUAGGUGUGUCAGAGAGAGAAAACCUUCUCUUGAUGAUACCUGAGCCUGAAGCACACUAUGUUUCAAUUCUCCUGCUUAUGUUUCAGUGAAUUCCACUCUCAAAAUGGAAACGUGGGAGUCCUGGUUCCUGACUGCCACGUUACAAUGUGCAGAAAAGUUACGAGAGUGGGAUGCACACCCUGGGAGUGCCUCAGUGACCCUCACCCUGCUCCUGUCCACCGAGGCAAGGGGGUGUGUGAGCAAAGCUAUUUCCAUCCCAGGUUCUGCCAUCUCCUCUUCCUACAAACUCAAACAUGACCUCAGAUCCCAGCUUUCCUCCUGCUGCCCUCUUUCUAAUUCUCUUUUGGGUCUGGGUGAGUGUUCAAAGAACAUCCUCUCUUGUCCUUCCAAGGGGCCAAGCAUUCUUAAGCUUCAUGCAGGCAAUGUUUUCCUGUCACAUUCAUAAACUGAGGCAAACAGACAAGCCUUAUGAAGAAGGACCAGGAUGGUUUCUGUCCCAUUAAUGGAAUUUUUGAGAAACUCGGUACAGUUUUAGGAAAAAAAAAAAAAAAAAAGU
This is a long non-coding RNA of Taeniopygia guttata (zebra finch), 3376 nucleotides long. The record is from Ensembl. NCBI's taxonomy places the organism in Eukaryota, Metazoa, Chordata, Aves, Passeriformes, Estrildidae.